Peromyscus maniculatus bairdii (prairie deer mouse) is the source of this 107-nucleotide small nuclear RNA. Lineage: Eukaryota; Metazoa; Chordata; Mammalia; Rodentia; Cricetidae. The record is from Ensembl.
GUGCUCACUUCGCCAGCACAUAAACUAAAUUUGAAAUAAUACAAGGAAGAUCAGCAUGGCCCCUGCACAAGGAGGACAUGCAAAUUCAUAAAGCCUUCCAUAUUGUU